Long non-coding RNA from Daphnia carinata, 408 nucleotides. RefSeq lists it as uncharacterized. The transcript has 3 exons. The record is from RefSeq and is a predicted model, not a curated record. NCBI's taxonomy places the organism in Eukaryota, Metazoa, Arthropoda, Branchiopoda, Diplostraca, Daphniidae.
AGAAGCGAGAAAAAACCACGAAGGCGCCAUUCUCAGUGAGUUUCAACAUUCCUGGUCGUCAAUGAAAUGUUCUUCCUUUUCAACCAACAGCUUAUAACAUACCAGACCCAUAAUAACAUUGUUGGCAACUCUUACAUCAGAAGCAUAUAAAAAAUUCCAAUCUGAAAGUACACUGAUGUUGAGAAUAAUUUGCACUGCUGGACCGAGCACAAUAACAAUUAUGGUGACAUAUCACAUAACAGAAACUAUAUCAGUGUUAAACUGGCAAAUGAAGUGAAAAAAUCUGAGUCAGACUCUACAUACCUUAAAGUACGGGACUUCCUGCUGUGGCCUUAGGACGAAGUACUGCUGGAUUUGAAAAAAAAAAUUCGCAUGCUAGGCACCUUUCGUAAUUUUUGGAUAUACCGA